GACGAGCGCUGGCGGCGUGCUUAACACAUGCAAGUCGAACGGAAAGGCCCUGCUUUUGUGGGGUGCUCGAGUGGCGAACGGGUGAGUAACACGUGAGUAACCUGCCCUUGACUUUGGGAUAACUUCAGGAAACUGGGGCUAAUACCGGAUAGGAGCUCCUGCUGCAUGGUGGGGGUUGGAAAGUUUCGGCGGUUGGGGAUGGACUCGCGGCUUAUCAGCUUGUUGGUGGGGUAGUGGCUUACCAAGGCUUUGACGGGUAGCCGGCCUGAGAGGGUGACCGGCCACAUUGGGACUGAGAUACGGCCCAGACUCCUACGGGAGGCAGCAGUGGGGAAUAUUGCACAAUGGGCGGAAGCCUGAUGCAGCAACGUCGCGUGCGGGAUGACGGCAUUCGGGUUGUAAACCGCUUUCGCCUGUGACGAAGCGUGAGUGACGGUAAUGGGUAAAGAAGCACCGGCUAACUACGUG
This 468-nucleotide ribosomal RNA is filed under the name uncultured bacterium. RNAcentral's name for it is "partial 16S ribosomal RNA". It matches the Rfam family "Bacterial small subunit ribosomal RNA", at positions 28 to 507 of the family's 1533-position model. The record is from RNAcentral.